This 102-nucleotide small nuclear RNA is filed under the name Sus scrofa (pig). The record is from RNAcentral. Lineage: Eukaryota; Metazoa; Chordata; Mammalia; Artiodactyla; Suidae.
AUGUUUGUUUUGGCAGCACUUGCAUAAAAAUUGGCCUGACACAUGGAAGAUGGCACGGCCCCCAAGGGUGACAUGCAGAUUCGUGAAGCAUUUCAUGUUUUU